Molecule: ribosomal RNA, 442 nt
Filed under: uncultured bacterium
Lineage: Bacteria
Description: partial 16S ribosomal RNA
Rfam family: Bacterial small subunit ribosomal RNA
Source: RNAcentral
CCUACGGGAGGCUGCAGUAGGGAAUCUUUCACAAUGGGCGAAAGCCUGAUGGAGCAACGCCGCGUGCAGGAUGAAGGCCUUCGGGUUGUAAACUGCUUUUAUAAGCGAGAAAUAUGAUGGUAACUUAUGAAUAAGGAUCGGCUAACUACGUGCCAGCAGCCGCGGUCAUACGUAGGAUUCGAGGAUUAUCCGGAGUGACUGGGUGUAAAGAGUUGCGUAGGUGGCAUAAUAAGUAGCUAGUGAAAUCUGGUGGCUCAACCAUUCAGACUAUUAGCGAAACUGUUAAGCUCGAGACCGUUAGGGGUAACUGGAAUGUCUAGUGUAGGAGUGAAAUCCGUAGAUAUUAGAAGGAACACCAAUAGCGUAGGCAGGUUGCUGGGACGGUUCUGACACUAAGGCACGAAAGCGUAGGGAGCAAACGGGAUUAGAUACCCCAGUAGUC